GUUGAACGCUGGCGGCAUGCCUAACACAUGCAAGUCGAGCGAGCGGCGCACGGGUGAGUAAUGUAUGGGAACCUGCCUUAUGGAGGGGGAUAACUACUGGAAACGGUAGCUAAUACGGCAUACCAUCAGCUGAACCCAUAUGGGAUUAGCUAGUAGGUGAGGUAACGGCUUACCUAGGCGACGAUCCCUAGCUGGUCUGAGAGGAGGAUCAGCCACACUGGGACUGAGACACGGCCCAGACUCCUACGGGAGGCAGCAGUGGGGAAUAUUGCACAAUGGGCGCAAGCCUGAUGCAGCCAUGCCGCGUGUAUGAAGAAGGCCUUCGGGUUGUAAAGUACUUUCAGUCGGGAGGCGUUACCGACAGAAGAAGCACCGGCUAACUCCGUGCCAGCAGCCGCGGUAAUAC
Molecule: ribosomal RNA, 406 nt
Filed under: uncultured bacterium
Lineage: Bacteria
Description: partial 16S ribosomal RNA
Rfam family: Bacterial small subunit ribosomal RNA
Source: RNAcentral